RNAcentral lists this ribosomal RNA (426 nucleotides) under uncultured bacterium. Its description in RNAcentral is "bacterial SSU rRNA". It matches the Rfam family "Bacterial small subunit ribosomal RNA", at positions 354 to 796 of the family's 1533-position model. The record is from RNAcentral.
GUCGGGAAUUUUGGGCAAUGGGGGAAACCCUGACCCAGCAACGCCGCGUGAAGGAUGAAGUAUUUCGGUAUGUAAACUUCGAAAGAAUGGGAAGAAUCAAUGACGGUACCAUUUAUAAGGUCCGGCUAACUACGUGCCAGCAGCCGCGGUAAUACGUAGGGACCAAGCGUUGUUCGGAUUUACUGGGCGUAAAGGGCGCGUAGGCGGCGUGACAAGUCACUUGUGAAAUCUCCGGGCUUAACCCGGAACUGCCAAGUGAUACUGUCGUGCUAGAGUGCGGAAGGGGCAAUCGGAAUUCUCGGUGUAGCGGUGAAAUGCGUAGAUAUCGAGAGGAACACCUGAGGUGAAGACGGGUUGCUGGGCCGACACUGACGCUGAGUGCGCGAAAGCCAGGGGAGCAAACGGGAUUAGAUACCCGAGUAGUCC